GACGAACGCUGGCGGCGUGCUUAACACAUGCAAGUCGAACGGAAAGACCCUGCUUUUGUGGGGUGCUCGAGUGGCGAACGGGUGAGUAACACGUGAGUAACCUGCCCUUGACUUUGGGAUAACUUCAGGAAACUGGGGCUAAUACCGGAUAGGAGCUCCUGCUGCAUGGUGGGGGUUGGAAAGUUUCGGCGGUUGGGGAUGGACUCGCGGCUUAUCAGCUUGUUGGUGGGGUAGUGGCUUACCAAGGCUUUGACGGGUAGCCGGCCUGAGAGGGUGACCGGCCACAUUGGGACUGAGAUACGGCCCAGACUCCUACGGGAGGCAGCAGUGGGGAAUAUCGCACAAUGGGCGGAAGCCUGAUGCAGCAACGCCGCGUGCGGGAUGACGGCCUUCGGGUUGUAAACCGCUUUCGCCUGUGACGAAGCGUGAGUGACGGUAAUGGGUAAAGAAGCACCGGCUAACUACGUG
RNAcentral lists this ribosomal RNA (468 nucleotides) under uncultured bacterium. Its description in RNAcentral is "partial 16S ribosomal RNA". It matches the Rfam family "Bacterial small subunit ribosomal RNA", at positions 28 to 507 of the family's 1533-position model. The record is from RNAcentral.